AGAAUUGUAUGUAGACGUGUUUGAGAUCCCUUGCCCCUCCAGCUAAGGCUCUGAGAGGGAUGUACACACCAGGUUCAUCUUGUCAGACUGUAACUCGAUACAAACUUUUCAAGCAUGUGCUUGAGGGCCAACAAGAAUAAAGUAUAUUUUGGGACCAAUUUUGCAAAUACUCCGGUAGCUGAAAUGGUGUAAGCAACUUUUGAAUAAUUUAUUUUCUUUAACCCUGGGUUCGAAUGCUGCUGCUACCUAACUGAUUUUAUUUUAAAGGCCAAUAUUUUUUUUUUUGUUUUUGUGCCAGCCAAAUGUCAGGCACGGCCCUGCAUCUUGUCCAACCCAUUCAUUUUCAUCACUCUCUUUCCGUCGAGUGUGCGAUUCAUUGCUUGCUGUCUGUAACUUACACCACUGAAAACAGGUGUGCUGGUCCCGUUAGAAAAAAAAGGGACGGUGUUUGGGCCAUCAGGUUCGCGCGGUUUCUCGAUUGUCAUGACGGUUUAAUGCGUUAGAUUAAGGGGCAACGUAAUCAAGG
Molecule: long non-coding RNA, 526 nt
Filed under: Brassica rapa (field mustard)
Lineage: Eukaryota; Viridiplantae; Streptophyta; Magnoliopsida; Brassicales; Brassicaceae
Description: long non-coding RNA (BRAP_LNC000852)
Source: RNAcentral